CGCACGGGUGCGUAACGCGUGGGAAUCUGCCCCUUGGUUCGGAAUAACAGCGAGAAAUUGCUGCUAAUACCGGAUAAUGACGUAAGUCCAAAGAUUUAUCGCCUAGGGAUGAGCCCGCGUAGGAUUAGCUAGUUGGUGUGGUAAAGGCGCACCAAGGCGACGAUCCUUAGCUGGUCUGAGAGGAUGAUCAGCCACACUGGGACUGAGACACGGCCCAG
This 218-nucleotide ribosomal RNA is filed under the name uncultured bacterium. Its description in RNAcentral is "partial 16S ribosomal RNA". It matches the Rfam family "Bacterial small subunit ribosomal RNA", at positions 99 to 334 of the family's 1533-position model. The record is from RNAcentral.